Molecule: ribosomal RNA, 329 nt
Filed under: uncultured eukaryote
Lineage: Eukaryota
Description: partial 18S ribosomal RNA
Rfam family: Eukaryotic small subunit ribosomal RNA
Source: RNAcentral
CCCUUAGAUGUCCUGGGCCGCACGCGCGCUACACUGAGUGUCUGAGAUACGAGUCUGCCUGGUCCGGCAAGGUCUAGGUAAUCGCUAAAAGACACAUCAUGCUUGGGAUAGAUUAUUGCAAAUAUUAAUCUUGAACGAGUAAUUCCUAGUAAGCGCAAGUCAACAGCUUGCGUUGAUUACGUCCCUGCCCUUUGUACACACCGCCCGUCGCUACUACUGAUUGGAUGUUUAAGCGAGGUUCUCGAACUGCUAGCGACUUAGCUUCGGUGAGGUCGCAGUGUGGGAAGUGAACCUAGCUUUGGUGUCUAGAGGAAGUAAAAGUCGUAACA